Molecule: ribosomal RNA, 485 nt
Filed under: uncultured bacterium
Lineage: Bacteria
Description: partial 16S ribosomal RNA
Rfam family: Bacterial small subunit ribosomal RNA
Source: RNAcentral
GAUGAACGCUGGCGGCGUGCCUAAUACAUGCAAGUCGAACGCUGGAGAUCUAGCUUGCUAGAUCGAAGGAGUGGCGAACGGGUGAGUAAUACAUAAGCAACCUACCCACGAAGACUGGGAUAAUCUCUGGAAACGGGGACUAAUACCGGAUAGGUAAUCGGAAGGCAUCUUCUGGUUAUUAAAGGUUAAAAACACUGGUGGAUGGGCUUAUGGCGCAUUAGUUAGUUGGUGAGGUAACGGCCCACCAAGACGAUGAUGCGUAGCCGGCCUGAGAGGGUGAACGGCCACAUUGGGACUGGGACACGGCCCAGACCCCUAGGGGGGGAAGCAGUAGGGAAUUUUCGGCAAGGGGGGCAACCCUGACCGGGAAACGCCGGGUGAGUGAAGACGGCCUUCGGGUUGUAAAGCUCUGUUGUAAGGGAAGAACGGUAGAUAGAGAAUAUCUAAGUGACGGUACCUUACCAGAAAGCCACGGCUAACUACGU